Molecule: transfer RNA, 85 nt
Filed under: Felis catus (domestic cat)
Lineage: Eukaryota; Metazoa; Chordata; Mammalia; Carnivora; Felidae
Rfam family: tRNA
About the family: Transfer RNA (tRNA) molecules are approximately 80 nucleotides in length.
Source: Rfam by way of RNAcentral
ACCUGGGUGGCUCAGUCGGUUAAGCAUCUGACUUCAGCUCAGGUCAUGAUCUCACGGUUUGUGAGUUCGAGUCCCGCUUUGGGUG